GUGCUUGCUUUGGCAGCACAUAUACUAAAAUUGGAACGAUACAGAGAAGAUUAUCAUGCCCCUGUGCAAGGAUGAUACGCAAAUUUAUGAAGUGUUCCAUAUUAAA
Molecule: small nuclear RNA, 106 nt
Organism: Suncus etruscus (white-toothed pygmy shrew)
Lineage: Eukaryota; Metazoa; Chordata; Mammalia; Eulipotyphla; Soricidae
Source: RefSeq, a predicted model, not a curated record